CUACGGGAGGCAGCAGUGGGGAAUUUUGGACAAUGGGCGCAAGCCUGAUCCAGCAAUGCCGCGUGCAGGACGAAGGCCUUCGGGUUGUAAACUGCUUUUGUACGGAGCGAAACGGCUUUCUCUAAUACAGGGGGCUAAUGACGGUACCGUAAGAAUAAGCACCGGCUAACUACGUGCCAGCAGCCGCGGUAAUACGUAGGGUGCGAGCGUUAAUCGGAAUUACUGGGCGUAAAGCGUGCGCAGGCGGUUUUGUAAGACAGAUGUGAAAUCCCCGGGCUCAACCUGGGACCUGCAUUUGUGACUGCAAAGCUGGAGUGCGGCAGAGGGGGAUGGAAUUCCGCGUGUAGCAGUGAAAUGCGUAGAUAUGCGGAGGAACACCGAUGGCGAAGGCAAUCCCCUGGGCCUGCACUGACGCUCAUGCACGAAAGCGUGGGGAGCAAACAGGAUUAGAAACCCGGGUAGUCC
Molecule: ribosomal RNA, 465 nt
Filed under: uncultured bacterium
Lineage: Bacteria
Description: bacterial SSU rRNA
Rfam family: Bacterial small subunit ribosomal RNA
Source: RNAcentral